This 382-nucleotide ribosomal RNA is filed under the name uncultured eukaryote. Its description in RNAcentral is "partial 18S ribosomal RNA". It matches the Rfam family "Eukaryotic small subunit ribosomal RNA", at positions 592 to 976 of the family's 1831-position model. The record is from RNAcentral.
UGUAAGCGUAUACCAAAGUUGUUGCAGUUAAAACGCUCGUAGUCGGAAUUUGGCAGUUCCGGAUGUGUGCACGUCGUGUGCGCGCUUUGCGGGAAUUGCUUUUGUGGGUGUGCGUCAGAUGAGGGCUGUUAAUUCGGUAACGUCUGUACGCAACCACUUUUUACUGUGAGAAAAUCAGAGUGCUCAAAGCAGGCAUUUGCCGUGAAUGUAUUAGCAUGGAAUAAUAGAAUAGGACUUAGUCUUAUUUUGUUGGUUUGUUAGGACCGAGUAAUGAUUAAGAGGGACAGUUGGGGGCAUUUGUAUUUCGGCGCUAGAGGUGAAAUUCUUAGAUUGCCGAAAGACAAACUGCUGCGAAAGCGUCUGCCAAGGAUGUUUUCAUUGA